AUUGAACGCUGGCGGCAGGUCUAACACAUGCAAGUCGAACGGUAACAGGAAACAGCUUGCUGUUUCGCUGACGAGUGGCGGACGGGUGAGUAAUGUCUGGGAAACUGCCUGAUGGAGGGGGAUAACUACUGGAAACGGUAGCUAAUACCGCAUAACGUCGCAAGACCAAAGAGGGGGACCUUCGGGCCUCUUGCCAUCGGAUGUGCCCAGAUGGGAUUAGCUAGUAGGUGGGGUAACGGCUCACCUAGGCGACGAUCCCUAGCUGGUCUGAGAGGAUGACCAGCCACACUGGAACUGAGACACGGUCCAGACUCCUACGGGAGGCAGCAGUGGGGAAUAUUGCACAAUGGGCGCAAGCCUGAUGCAGCCAUGCCGCGUGUAUGAAGAAGGCCUUCGGGUUGUAAAGUACUUUCAGCGGGGAGGAAGGGAGUAAAGUUAAUACCUUUACUCAUUGACGUUACCCGCAGAAGAAGCACCGGCUAACUCCGUG
RNAcentral lists this ribosomal RNA (490 nucleotides) under uncultured bacterium. Its description in RNAcentral is "partial 16S ribosomal RNA". It matches the Rfam family "Bacterial small subunit ribosomal RNA", at positions 30 to 507 of the family's 1533-position model. The record is from RNAcentral.